UACGGAGGAUGCAAGCGUUAUCCGGAAUGAUUGGGCGGAAAGCGUCCGCAGGUGGCUAUGUAAGUCUGCUGUUAAAGAGUGAGGCUCAACCUCAUAAGAGCAGUGGAAACUACAUGGCUAGAGUGCGUUCGGGGCAGAGGGAAUUCCUGGUGUAGCGGUGAAAUGCGUAGAGAUCAGGAAGAACACCGGUGGCGAAAGCGCUCUGCUAGGCCGCAACUGACACUGAGGGACGAAAGCUAGGGGAGCGAAUGGG
Molecule: ribosomal RNA, 253 nt
Filed under: uncultured bacterium
Lineage: Bacteria
Description: partial 16S ribosomal RNA
Rfam family: Bacterial small subunit ribosomal RNA
Source: RNAcentral